Molecule: ribosomal RNA, 506 nt
Filed under: uncultured bacterium
Lineage: Bacteria
Description: partial 16S ribosomal RNA
Rfam family: Bacterial small subunit ribosomal RNA
Source: RNAcentral
GAUGAACGCUAGCUACAGGCUUAACACAUGCAAGUCGAGGGGUAACGAGAGGAAGGCUUGCUUUCCUUGUCGACGACCGGCGCACGGGUGAGUAACGCGUAUCCAACCUGCCCCCAACUAGGGAAUAACCUUGCGAAAGUAAGACUAAUACCCUAUAAUUUCCUCAGAUGUCAUCUGACGAGGAAUAAAGAUUUAUCGGUUGUGGAUGGGGAUGCGUCUGAUUAGCUUGUUGGCGGGGUAACGGCCCACCAAGGGAACGAUCCAUAGGGGUGCGGAGAGGAAGGUCCCCCACAUUGGAACUGAGACACGGUCCCAACUCCUACGGGAGGCAGCAGUGAGGAAUAUUGGUCAAUGGGCGGAAGCCUGAACCAGCCAAGUAGCGUGCAGGAUGACGGCCCUAUGGGUUGUAAACUGCUUUUAUACAGGAAUAAAGUUAGCCACGUGUGGUUAUUUGUAGGUACUGUAUGAAUAAGGACCGGCUAAUUCCGUGCCAGCCGCCGCAGUAA